GAUUAAGUUAUUAAGGGCGCACGGUGGAUGCCUUGGCACUAGAAGCCGAUGAAGGACGUUACUAACGACGAUAUGCUUUGGGGAGCUGUAAGUAAGCUUUGAUCCAGAGAUUUCCGAAUGGGGAAACCCAGCAUGAGUUAUGUCAUGUUAUCGAUAUGUGAAUACAUAGCAUAUCAGAAGGCACACCCGGAGAACUGAAACAUCUUAGUACCCGGAGGAAGAGAAAGAAAAUUCGAUUCCCUUAGUAGCGGCGAGCGAAACGGGAAGAGCCCAAACCAACAAGCUUGCUUGUUGGGGUUGUAGGACACUCUAUACGGAGUUACAAAGGACGACAUUAGACGAAUCAUCUGGAAAGAUGAAUCAAAGAAGGUAAUAAUCCUGUAGUCGAAAAUGUUGUCUCUCUUGAGUGGAUCCUGAGUACGACGGAGCACGUGAAAUUCCGUCGGAAUCUGGGAGGACCAUCUCCUAAGGCUAAAUACUCUCUAGUGACCGAUAGUGAACCAGUACCGUGAGGGAAAGGUGAAAAGCACCCCGGAAGGGGAGUGAAAUAGAACCUGAAACCGUGUGCUUACAAGUAGUCAGAGCCCGUUAAUGGGUGAUGGCGUGCCUUUUGUAGAAUGAACCGGCGAGUUACGAUUUGAUGCAAGGUUAAGCAGUAAAUGUGGAGCCGUAGCGAAAGCGAGUCUGAAUAGGGCGUUUAGUAUUUGGUCGUAGACCCGAAACCAGGUGAUCUACCCUUGGUCAGGUUGAAGUUCAGGUAACACUGAAUGGAGGACCGAACCGACUUACGUUGAAAAGUGAGCGGAUGAACUGAGGGUAGCGGAGAAAUUCCAAUCGAACCUGGAGAUAGCUGGUUCUCUCCGAAAUAGCUUUAGGGCUAGCCUCAAGUGAUGAUUAUUGGAGGUAGAGCACUGUUUGGACGAGGGGCCCUCUCGGGUUACCGAAUUCAGACAAACUCCGAAUGCCAAUUAAUUUAACUUGGGAGUCAGAACAUGGGUGAUAAGGUCCGUGUUCGAAAGGGAAACAGCCCAGACCACCAGCUAAGGUCCCAAAAUAUAUGUUAAGUGGAAAAGGAUGUGGCGUUGCCCAGACAACUAGGAUGUUGGCUUAGAAGCAGCCAUCAUUUAAAGAGUGCGUAAUAGCUCACUAGUCGAGUGACACUGCGCCGAAAAUGUACCGGGGCUAAACAUAUUACCGAAGCUGUGGAUUGUCCUUUGGACAAUGGUAGGAGAGCGUUCUAAGGGCGUUGAAGCAUGAUCGUAAGGACAUGUGGAGCGCUUAGAAGUGAGAAUGCCGGUGUGAGUAGCGAAAGACGGGUGAGAAUCCCGUCCACCGAUUGACUAAGGUUUCCAGAGGAAGGCUCGUCCGCUCUGGGUUAGUCGGGUCCUAAGCUGAGGCCGACAGGCGUAGGCGAUGGAUAACAGGUUGAUAUUCCUGUACCACCUAUAAUCGUUUUAAUCGAUGGGGGGACGCAGUAGGAUAGGCGAAGCGUGCGAUUGGAUUGCACGUCUAAGCAGUAAGGCUGAGUAUUAGGCAAAUCCGGUACUCGUUAAGGCUGAGCUGUGAUGGGGAGAAGACAUUGUGUCUUCGAGUCGUUGAUUUCACACUGCCGAGAAAAGCCUCUAGAUAGAAAAUAGGUGCCCGUACCGCAAACCGACACAGGUAGUCAAGAUGAGAAUUCUAAGGUGAGCGAGCGAACUCUCGUUAAGGAACUCGGCAAAAUGACCCCGUAACUUCGGGAGAAGGGGUGCUCUUUAGGGUUAACGCCCAGAAGAGCCGCAGUGAAUAGGCUUCAAGCGACUGUUUAUCAAAAACACAGGUCUCUGCUAAACCGUAAGGUGAUGUAUAGGGGCUGACGCCUGCCCGGUGCUGGAAGGUUAAGAUGAGUGGUUAGCUUCUGCGAAGCUACGAAUCGAAGCCCCAGUAAACGGCGGCCGUAACUAUAACGAUCCUAAGGUAGCGAAAUUCCUUGUCGGGUAAGUUCCGACCCGCACGAAAGGCGUAACGAUUUGGGCACUGUCUCAACGAGAGACUCGGUGAAAUCAUAGUACCUGUGAAGAUGCAGGUUACCCGCGACAGGACGGAAAGACCCCGUGGAGCUUUACUGUAGCCUGAUAUUGAAAUUCGGCACAGCUUGUACAGGAUAGGUAGGAGCCUUUGAAACGUGAGCGCUAGCUUACGUGGAGGCGCUGGUGGGAUACUACCCUAGCUGUGUUGGCUUUCUAACCCGCACCACUUAUCGUGGUGGGAGACAGUGUCAGGCGGGCAGUUUGACUGGGGCGGUCGCCUCCUAAAAGGUAACGGAGGCGCUCAAAGGUUCCCUCAGAAUGGUUGGAAAUCAUUCAUAGAGUGUAAAGGCAUAAGGGAGCUUGACUGCGAGACCUACAAGUCGAGCAGGGUCGAAAGACGGACUUAGUGAUCCGGUGGUUCCGCAUGGAAGAGUAGCCAUCGCUCAACGGAUAAAAGCUACCCCGGGGAUAACAGGCUUAUCUCCCCCAAGAGUUCACAUCGACGGGGAGGUUUGGCACCUCGAUGUCGGCUCAUCGCAUCCUGGGGCUGUAGUCGGUCCCAAGGGUUGGGCUGUUCGCCCAUUAAAGCGGUACGCGAGCUGGGUUCAGAACGUCGUGAGACAGUUCGGUCCCUAUCCGUCGUGGGCGUAGGAAAUUUGAGAGGAGCUGUCCUUAGUACGAGAGGACCGGGAUGGACAUACCUCUGGUGUACCAGUUGUCGUGCCAACGGCAUAGCUGGGUAGCUAUGUGUGGACGGGAUAAGUGCUGAAAGCAUCUAAGCAUGAAGCCCCCCUCAAGAUGAGAUUUCCCAACUUCGGUUAUAAGAUCCCUCAAAGAUGAUGAGGUUAAUAGGUUCGAGGUGGAAGCAUGGUGACAUGUGGAGCUGACGAAUACUAAUCGAUCGAAGACUUAAUCAA
RNAcentral lists this ribosomal RNA (2926 nucleotides) under Staphylococcus aureus. Its description in RNAcentral is "23S ribosomal RNA". It matches the Rfam family "Bacterial large subunit ribosomal RNA". The record is from RNAcentral. Lineage: Bacteria; Bacillati; Bacillota; Bacilli; Caryophanales; Staphylococcaceae.